AAUUUUGCAUUCAAUUUUAGUUAGUUCUAUUUACAACAAAUAGGCAAGAAGAAAGAAGGAAGGCCCUUAGACUUGGAACAGUUCAGGCCUGCUCUCCGAAGGCAGUUGGAACUCAUUGAAGAUGGCAGGAGGGAGAGGAUGGGGAGUAGUGAGGAGAUGGGAGAAGAAACAGAGACAGGAGAAGAGACAGAGACAGGCGAGGAGACAGGGACAGGAGAAGAGACUGGGACAGGGACAGAGAGAGACAAAGGAAAAAA
RNAcentral lists this long non-coding RNA (257 nucleotides) under Amphimedon queenslandica. RNAcentral describes it as "uncharacterized LOC109584080". Lineage: Eukaryota; Metazoa; Porifera; Demospongiae; Haplosclerida; Niphatidae. The record is from RNAcentral.